AUUGCCUCAGUAACGGCGAGUGAAGCGGCAAGAGCUCAAAUUUGAAAGCUGGCCCCUCCGGGGUCCGCAUUGUAAUUUGCAGAGGAUGCUUCGGGCUCAGCCCCCGUCUAAGUGCCCUGGAACGGGCCGUCGGAGAGGGUGAGAAUCCCGUCUGGGACGGGGUGCCUGGGUCCAUGUGAAGCUCCUUCGACGAGUCGAGUUGUUUGGGAAUGCAGCUCUAAAUGGGUGGUAAAUUUCAUCUAAAGCUAAAUACUGGCCGGAGACCGAUAGCGCACAAGUAGAGUGAUCGAAAGAUGAAAAGCACUUUGAAAAGAGAGUUAAACAGCACGUGAAAUUGUUGAAAGGGAAGCGCUUGCGAUCAGACUCGCCUGCGGGGUUCAGCCGGCAUUCGUGCCGGUGUACUUCCCCGUGGGCGGGCCAGCGUCGGUUCGGGUGGCCGGUCAAAGGCCCCGGGAAUGUGUCGCCCUCCGGGGCGUCUUAUAGCCCGGGGUGCCAUGCGGCCUACCUGGACCGAGGAACGCGCUUCGGCUCGGACGCUGGCGUAAUGGUCGUAAGCGACCCGUCUUGAAACACGGACCAAGGAGUCUAACAUCUACGCGAGUGUUUGGGUGGCAAACCCAUACGCGCAGUGAAAGCGAACGGAGGUGGGAACCCUUCGGGGCGCACCAUCGACCGAUCCUGAUGUCUUCGGAUGGAUUUGAGUAAGAGCGUAGCUGUGGGGACCCGAAAGAUGGUGAACUAUGCCUGAAUAGGGCGAAGCCAGAGGAAACUCUGGUGGAGGCUCGCAGCGGUUCUGACGUGCAAAUCGAUCGUCAAAUUUGGGUAUAGGGGCGAAAGAC
This 839-nucleotide ribosomal RNA is filed under the name Monascus sp. (in: ascomycete fungi). RNAcentral's name for it is "eukaryotic LSU rRNA". It matches the Rfam family "Eukaryotic large subunit ribosomal RNA", at positions 74 to 931 of the family's 3401-position model. Lineage: Eukaryota; Fungi; Ascomycota; Eurotiomycetes; Eurotiales; Aspergillaceae. The record is from RNAcentral.